RNAcentral lists this ribosomal RNA (253 nucleotides) under uncultured bacterium. RNAcentral's name for it is "partial 16S ribosomal RNA". It matches the Rfam family "Bacterial small subunit ribosomal RNA", at positions 524 to 776 of the family's 1533-position model. The record is from RNAcentral.
UACAGAGGGUGCGAGCGUUAUUCGGAAUUACUGGGCGUAAAGCGCACGUAGGUGGCGACGUAAGUCGGGUGUGAAAGCCCCGGGCUCAACCUGGGAAUUGCAUUCGAGACUGCAUUGCUGGAGUACGGAAGAGGAAGGCGGAAUUCCCGGUGUAGCGGUGAAAUGCGUAGAUAUCGGGAGGAACAUCAGUGGCGAAGGCGGCCUUCUGGUCCAGUACUGACACUCAAGUGCGAAAGCGUGGGGAGCAAACAGG